AUUGAACGCUGGCGGAAUGCUUUACACAUGCAAGUCGAACGGUAGAGGGGGCAACCCCUCGAGAGUGGCGAACGGGUGAGUAAUAUAUCGGAACGUGCCCAGUCGUGGGGGAUAACGUAGCGAAAGUUACGCUAAUACCGCAUACGAUCUAAGGAUGAAAGCGGGGGAUCGCAAGACCUCGCGCGAUUGGAGCGGCCGAUAUCAGAUUAGGUAGUUGGUGGGGUAAAGGCUCACCAAGCCAACGAUCUGUAGCUGGUCUGAGAGGACGACCAGCCAAACUGGAACUGAGACACGGUCCAGACUCCUACGGGAGGCAGCAGUGGGGAAUUUUGGACAAUGGACGCAAGUCUGAUCCAGCCAUUCCGCGUGCAGGAUGAAGGCCCUCGGGUUGUAAACUGCUUUCGUACGGAACGAAAAGGUCUCUCUUAAUACGGGGGGCUCAUGACGGUACCGUAAGAAUAAGCACCGGCUAACUACGUGCCAGCCGCCGCGGUAA
Molecule: ribosomal RNA, 496 nt
Filed under: uncultured bacterium
Lineage: Bacteria
Description: partial 16S ribosomal RNA
Rfam family: Bacterial small subunit ribosomal RNA
Source: RNAcentral